This 434-nucleotide long non-coding RNA is filed under the name Callithrix jacchus (white-tufted-ear marmoset). Its description in RNAcentral is "lncRNA (ENSCJAG00000075846.1)". The record is from RNAcentral. Lineage: Eukaryota; Metazoa; Chordata; Mammalia; Primates; Cebidae.
GCCCUAAUGUUAUUGAAUGGGUAUUUUGGACUGAAUAUGAAAAUCAUUUAAAAAAACUAUGUUCCUGGGCUUGAAUAUAAAUAUACACGGAAGCCUCAACUCUUCUGCUCAUAUGUUCAUUGCUGUUCUACUGAAUAUUAGCAGAUCCAAAGAGAAAAAUUUAUGCCAUGCCAUGAAAGGCCACACAGAGAAGCACUGGGUUCAACCAGAAGGAGGAGGUAGCAGUAGAAAUUGUGGGCAGGAGCCUUUAUUUUGGUUGCCAAGGAAGGAACCUGCAAGCGAAGGUAAACAGCUCAACAUACUAAUGUGAGUAAUUUCAGCUGGCUCUGGGGUGUGGGGGCUGCCUUUACUUCUCUGGCACCUGGAUCUGAGGUGAUUAAGGAAGGCAGGUCGUGGUCUAGAAUGUCAAAGCAUGAUAAAGGAGGUGAUUGAUU